This 72-nucleotide transfer RNA is filed under the name Nanobdellota archaeon. RNAcentral describes it as "tRNA-Ala". It matches the Rfam family "tRNA". Rfam says of the family: Transfer RNA (tRNA) molecules are approximately 80 nucleotides in length. The record is from RNAcentral. Lineage: Archaea; Nanobdellati; Nanobdellota.
GGGCCCAUAGCUCAGCAGUAGAGCGCGACCUUCGCAAGGUUGAGGCCGCGGGUGCGAUUCCCGCUGGGUCCA